GGCUGAAUGGUCUAGUAGCAUGAUUCUCGCUUUGGGUUCUUGUGAGAAAUCACAUCGAAAACUGCGAGAGGUCCCGGGUUCAAUUCCCGGUUCAGCCC
This is a non-coding RNA of Borealophlyctis nickersoniae, 98 nucleotides long. NCBI's taxonomy places the organism in Eukaryota, Fungi, Chytridiomycota, Chytridiomycetes, Rhizophlyctidales, Borealophlyctidaceae. The record is from the annotation of a GenBank genome assembly.